AGCACAGGUUGUGGAGCGGUGAAACACCGCUUCCCAUUCAUUUCAUUGGAGGGGAAGCGGAGAGUGCGGGGGACCGUUGGGCGGUGCGAAGGUGGCGUGGGAGGCAGUGGAAAAAGAUCAACUUUACCCAACAUUGUGCAAAUCACCAGCGCGACCGCUGGACGAUGACCAAUCAUAUCGAGUGGUUGCCAUGACGAAUUAGAUGCUAUGCGACCCAAGGCUGGAGACUUUCUUCAGCAAAGAUGGCUGACAAAAAUACUACGAUGGAAGCAAAUGGACUCCUGAAACAACCAGCAAACCAGGCUGUCGUCUUGUGGAAACAGUGGAUGUAAAAAAUCUAGCUAGCUAAAGCAUUUACUACAAAUUUAGUGUACAAUUGUGCAAGCUUGCCUUGCUGAUAUUUGCCAUGCAAUGCAGAUGGAUGAAAUAACGUAGCUAGCUAUGUUCUUGCUUAUUGUUCAGUGGAGGAUAACAAUACCGGUAUGCCUACGGAUGUGUAGCUAACGUUAGCGUUCUAGCCGAUCGGUCUAUGGACCCAAACGUUUGGCAUACAUAUUAGUUCAGAACCUAGCUAUGAACCUUAGCUAUCAUAGCCAGUUGUAUCAAAUUCAAAACAGUCUGAAUGACAUUAAUGAAGCCUAUGGAUUGAGUAGAAUAUAAUAUAACUUUGUUCCAAG
Oncorhynchus tshawytscha (Chinook salmon) is the source of this 677-nucleotide long non-coding RNA. RefSeq lists it as uncharacterized. Lineage: Eukaryota; Metazoa; Chordata; Actinopteri; Salmoniformes; Salmonidae. The transcript is spliced from 2 exons. The record is from RefSeq and is a predicted model, not a curated record.